GAACGUGAAAUGUAGCAAUACAGAGUAAAGUGGCGUACGGGUGAGAAACGCGUAGGUAAUCUACCUGAGUGUCCGGAAUAACCUGCCGAAAGGCGGGCUAAUACUGGAUAGAGCGAUGGGAUCCGUAAUUGGGUCUUUCGGGAAAGGGAGGGAACAAUCUCCUUCGCACUCAGAUGAGCCUGCGUCUGAUUAGCUAGUUGGUGGGGUAACGGCCCACCAAGGCGAUGAUCGGUAGCUGGUCUGAGAGGAUGAUCAGCCACACUGGAACUGAAACACGGUCCAGACUCCUACGGGAGGCAGCAGUGGGGAAUCUUGCGCAAUGGGCGAAAGCCUGACGCAGCCACGCCGCGUGAGUGAAGAAGGCCUUCGGGUUGUAAAGCUAUGACGGGCGGGACGAAAACUUUUAAGGUUAACAGCCUUAGAAAUUGACGGUACCGCCAAAGGAAGCACCGGCUAACUUCGUG
This 464-nucleotide ribosomal RNA is filed under the name uncultured bacterium. RNAcentral describes it as "bacterial SSU rRNA". It matches the Rfam family "Bacterial small subunit ribosomal RNA", at positions 64 to 507 of the family's 1533-position model. The record is from RNAcentral.